RNAcentral lists this ribosomal RNA (468 nucleotides) under uncultured bacterium. RNAcentral describes it as "partial 16S ribosomal RNA". It matches the Rfam family "Bacterial small subunit ribosomal RNA", at positions 28 to 507 of the family's 1533-position model. The record is from RNAcentral.
GACGAACGCUGGCGGCGUGCUUAACACAUGCAAGUCGAACGGAAAGGCCCUGCUUUGGUGGGGUGCUCGAGGGGCGAACGGGUGAGUAACACGUGAGUAACCUGUCCUUGACUGUGGGAUAACUUCAGGAAACUGGGUCUAAUACCGGAUAGGAGCUCCUGCUGCAUGGUGGGGGUUGGAAAGUUUCGGCGGUUGGGGAUGGACUCGCGGCUUAUCAGCUUGUUGGUUGGGUAGUGGAUUACCAAGGCUUUGACGGGUAGCAGGCCUGAGAGGGUGACCGGACACGUUGGGACUGAGAUACGGCCCAGACUCCUACGGGAGGCAGCAGUGGGGAAUAUUGCACAAUGGGCGGAAGCCUGAUGCAGCAACGCCGCGUGCGGGAUGACGGCCUUCGGGUUGUAAACCGCUUUCGCCUGUGACGAAGCGUGAGUGACGGUAAUGGGUAAAGAAGCACCGGCUAACUACGUG